Molecule: ribosomal RNA, 247 nt
Filed under: uncultured bacterium
Lineage: Bacteria
Description: partial 16S ribosomal RNA
Rfam family: Bacterial small subunit ribosomal RNA
Source: RNAcentral
CACGCCCUAAACGAUGUCAACUGGUUGUUGGGUCUUCACUGACUCAGUAACGAAGCUAACGCGUGAAGUUGACCGCCUGGGGAGUACGGCCGCAAGGUUAAAACUCAAAGGAAUUGACGGGGACCCGCACAAGCGGUGGAUGAUGUGGUUUAAUUCGAUGCAACGCGAAAAACCUUACCCACCUUUGACAUGUAUGGAAGAUCGCAGAGACGCGAUUGUGCUCGAAAGAGAGCCAUAACACAGGUGC